AUAUUAUUAAGCGGAGGAAAAGAAACUAACCAGGAUUCCCCUAGUAACGGCGAGUGAAGCGGGAAGAGCUCAACGUUAAAAUCGGUGCCUCUAGCGGGGCUUCCGAAUUGUAAUCUCGAGACACUUUAUCAGCCUCGACCCGGGUGGAAAUCUUUUGAAACAAGGUAUCAGAGAGGGUGAGAAUCCCGUCUGCAACUCGGAGUUCGGGGCGUACGAGGGGUGUUCCAAGAGUCGAAUAGCUUGGGAGUGCUGUUCUAAAUGGGUGGUAAAUUUCAUCUAAAGCUAAAUAUCUCUAGGAGACCGAUAGCGCACAAGUA
RNAcentral lists this ribosomal RNA (317 nucleotides) under uncultured eukaryote. RNAcentral describes it as "partial large subunit ribosomal RNA". It matches the Rfam family "Eukaryotic large subunit ribosomal RNA", at positions 40 to 350 of the family's 3401-position model. The record is from RNAcentral.